AACGAACGCUGGCGGCAUGCCUAACACAUGCAAGUCGAACGAGACCUUCGGGUCUAGUGGCGCACGGGUGCGUAACGCGUGGGAACCUGCCCUUAGGUUCGGAAUAACUCCCCGAAGGGGGUGCUAAUACCGGAUAAUGUCUUCGGACCAAAGAUUUAUCGCCGUGGGAUGGGCCCGCGUUGGCUUAGCUAGUUGGUAGUGUAAAAGCCUACCAAGGCGACGAUCCAUAGCUGGUCUGAGAGGAUGAUCCUCCACACUGGGACUGAGACACGGCCCAGACUCGUACGGGAGGGAGCAGUGGGGAAUAUUGGACAAUGGGCGAAAGCCUGAUCCAGCAAUGCCGCGUGAGUGAUGAAGGCCGUAGGGUUGUAAAGCUCUUUUACCCGGGAUGAUAAUGACAGUACCGGGAGAAUAAGCUCCGGCUAACUACGUG
Molecule: ribosomal RNA, 433 nt
Filed under: uncultured bacterium
Lineage: Bacteria
Description: partial 16S ribosomal RNA
Rfam family: Bacterial small subunit ribosomal RNA
Source: RNAcentral